This 460-nucleotide ribosomal RNA is filed under the name uncultured bacterium. RNAcentral's name for it is "partial 16S ribosomal RNA". It matches the Rfam family "Bacterial small subunit ribosomal RNA", at positions 338 to 795 of the family's 1533-position model. The record is from RNAcentral.
CCUACGGGCGGCAGCAGUGAGGAAUAUUGGUCAAUGGUCGGGAGACUGAACCAGCCAAGCCGCGUGAGGGAUGAAGGUACAGAGUAUCGUAAAUCUCUUUUGUCAGGGAACAAAGGCGGGGACGCGUCCCCGGAUGAGUGUACCUGAAGAAAAAGCAUCGGCUAACUCCGUGCCAGCAGCCGCGGUAAUACGGAGGGUUCGAGCGUUUUCCGGAUUUAUUGGGUGUAAAGGGUGCGCAGCCGGUCUGUUAAGUCAGUGGGUAAAGCCCGGGGCUUAACCCCGGCACGGCCGUUGAAACUGGCAGUCUCGAGUUGGAGAGAGGUAUGCGGAAUGCGCGGUGUAGCGGUGAAAUGCGUAGAUAUCACGAAGAACUCCGGUUGCGAAGGCAGCAUGCCGGCGCUCAACUGACGCUGAUGCACGAAAGUGUGGGUAUCGAACAGGAUUAGAUACCCUUGUAGUC